Molecule: long non-coding RNA, 1966 nt
Organism: Rhineura floridana
Lineage: Eukaryota; Metazoa; Chordata; Lepidosauria; Squamata; Rhineuridae
Exons: 3
Source: RefSeq, a predicted model, not a curated record
GGUCUCCGAGGCCUCCUCCGCCACCGCCCUGCGCAGAAAGGGCGCGCGCGCCGCCGCGGAACAGUGGACGGAGCGGGAACGGGGCGCGCAGCCCGCGCGCGGUCAAAGAAGCAGCCAGGGCCCCAGAAACGGCGACGGACACCAUUUUGAACAUUGCAGCGCGCAUGCGCCGAGGCCAGCUGCUCUCUGUCGUCAAGCCUGAGGUUGCAUGACCUUGCUGAAGCUGAGCAGGUCUGGGUCUGCUCAGUGGCAUAUGUAUGACGAAAAGGCAGGAUAUAAGUCUUCCUUGACUCUGCUCAGUAACAAUGCUGGUAUCUCCUUGGCCCUGGUGAUACGUUUCUUGAUCUGCGCAGGGAAAAUUAACUCGGAAAAAGCAAGGGACAGCGGAGAAAGAGGAGCAGAUGACCUCACCUCUUUUCAACUGCCACACGUCAGGAAGUGGUGCAAGCAGGAGGGAAUGGAAAUACUGCGCAGGUCAAAUAUAUUUGCACAUGCCUAGUAACUGAGCAACUGGAGGGAGUAAAAAUGUAAAAGUAGAGGGUGGGGCCACAAGGAAACAGUGACACUAAUCCUUCCCAGAGGAACGCCUACUUGUGUGAAGGGAAAACAAUGAAUUUGCAGCUACCUUUGACCACACAGUGUGGAUGGUGCAAAUCUGUUACAGUGCUAAAAGCAGUGUAUUUGCUAUGAAGAAAUGCUCCCAUGUGGAUAAGCCCAAAGCUGUUGGUUUAAAAAACUGUAAGGGGGGGAUUUAAGAUCCCCACCCCCAGCAGUGGGAAGUCCUCUGCCCUCUCCCUAAAACAGAACAAAAAGGGCUGUCCCCAGUUCACCUGCAAAUGGGGUGGUUGAGUUGAGAGUGGUUAUUUUGGUUCUCCCCGAUGCCCCCAAUGUGCUACUUUUCUAGUCUAAGGACUUGUCCAUACUGGAGUUUACUGUUGUGUCUGCAGCAGUUUGCAUUUCCAUUUCAUUUGCAUAGUCUACAUGAUAUUGCCGUCAAACACCACCAGUCUUGAUGCUUUCCCGCUGUAAAUUCGAAUUUAUUCACUGCAGAGAUAUUCCAUUAAAUAGGAGGAAAUCAGGCUCUAAACUGCUCCACUUGGGGUCACAAACUAUUUGUUUUGCCGUUUUCGGCUGGAUCAGUCGUCAUUUUCUGCUACUCCUCUUUUCACACCCACUACUUCUUUCAUGCUUUCAUUCCUUUUCUGGCAGUGCUCAUAACUAUUUCCGGUGUGCUCUUGAACAGAGUCUAGUCAUUUAUAUAUUGUUUUGAUCCCUCAGAUUUGCACAAAACCAGAAAACUGCACAAGCAAAGCAACUUUUUUUUUUUAACACCAGAUGUAUUGUGCAGUGGACCUAACUAUUUUCAGGUCCUUAAUAGAAUCAACAAAUUAGAAGGUGAAGACAAGCAGAAAAAGAAACACAUAUGAAUGGGAAUGAUGGAAGUUGCUGUUCAUGUACAAAUUCAAAUAUGUGAGGGUGUGGACUACUCUGGUCUAAUUUGAAUGGGGGAAAAGUGGAUUAACAGCUAAAUAAAGCUCAAGUGUGGACAAACCCUACAUCUCCUGCUCCCAGCAGAGCUCCUGAAAUGCUUUGGCAAGGAUACAUGAAUCUGAUGAUAUCACUUCAUUCCACGGUAGCUUCAAAUAAUAGCCUCCAAAUUAUGACUAGAAAAUAGCAGCAUUGAUUCUAAAGCAUUGUUGUGACUAAACAACUCAGCAUAAUGUUUUUGCAGUAAACAUCCUUUGUAGUUGGUUUACAAGAAUCUCCUUACAUCUGAUACCAAACUUUACCAGUACCUUCAAGCCGGCCACUCAGCAGAUCAAAGAUUCACUUUCUUCUUUCUGUGCUGAAUCCGCUGAUUGGAAGGGUCCAGGACAAUCAGCAAACCACAGUGACAAUCCAAACUGUUAACUUCUGAUAAAACUCUUUGGUGCUUUGGAUUAAUCCUGAGUAUGUAUUUUGUAAA